This is a non-coding RNA of Acanthosepion pharaonis, 107 nucleotides long. Lineage: Eukaryota; Metazoa; Mollusca; Cephalopoda; Sepiida; Sepiidae. The record is from the annotation of a GenBank genome assembly.
ACAUAUCACGUUGAAUCAUCGGUUCUCAGAAGAUCUCCAAACUUAAGCAACGUCGAGCCUGGUCAGUACUUAUAUGGGUGACCGCUUUGGAAUAUAAGGAGCUGCAA